This 253-nucleotide ribosomal RNA is filed under the name uncultured bacterium. RNAcentral's name for it is "partial 16S ribosomal RNA". It matches the Rfam family "Bacterial small subunit ribosomal RNA", at positions 524 to 776 of the family's 1533-position model. The record is from RNAcentral.
GACGGGGGGGGCAAGCGUUGUCCGGAAUUACUGGGCGUAAAGGGCUCGUAGGCGGCCAACUAAGUCGGACGUGAAAUCCCUCGGCUUAACCGGGGAACUGCGUCUGAUACUGGAUGGCUUGAGUUUGGGAGAGGGAUGCGGAAUUCCAGGUGUAGCGGUGAAAUGCGUAGAUAUCUGGAGGAACACCGGUGGCGAAGGCGGCAGCCUGGACCAGCACUGACGCUGAGGAGCGAAAGCCAGGGGAGCAAACGGG